Molecule: ribosomal RNA, 200 nt
Filed under: Enterococcus faecalis
Lineage: Bacteria; Bacillati; Bacillota; Bacilli; Lactobacillales; Enterococcaceae
Description: partial 16S ribosomal RNA
Rfam family: Bacterial small subunit ribosomal RNA
Source: RNAcentral
UAUUAUGAGAGUUUGAUCCUGGCUCAGGACGAACGCUGGCGGCGUGCCUAAUACAUGCAAGUCGAACGCUUCUUUCCUUCCGAGUGCUUGCACUCAAUUGGAAAGAGGAGUGGCGGACGGGUGAGUAACACGUGGGUAACCUACCCAUCAGAGGGGGAUAACACUUGGAAACAGGUGCUAAUACCGCAUAACAGUUUAUG